UACAUGUGUGUGUACGUGUGUAUAUAUUUAGAGAGAGAGAUGAACAAUGGUGAGGCGAAGUGCGUAUUUGAUUUGGAAAAGCCCUCAGUUUAUCGAUGCCAUUCGAGAACGGGAAUUAGAUCUCCGAAGCUUGUUUUCUCUGAAAAUUAGUUCCAUCAUUUCAAUGUAUAUGUAUGUGGUUGAUGUAUGGAUGGUUAGUUUGAACAGGAAAUAGAAAAGGUGUUAUAUCGACGAAGCCUGGUGCUACUCAGGCACCAAAUCAGGUCAGCUUCCGGCUGAUCCCAAAAUCAAUGACAGUGACAAAAGUGAAAGCCCCCAACUGGAAGAUCUGAUGAAAAACAAGCUAAUAAUGAAACUCAGCCGCUGAAUCUGAACAAAAAAAAAAUGAUGGGCCUGCAAAAAUGAAAGAGGUGGGUUCAUAUCUAUGUGACAGGAUAAACACAUCAUUCAUGCAUGAAAUCAGGUUUUGAGUACGCUGAACCUAUGUUUUGAGUGUAUACCCCAAUUUUUAAAUUGUUCGAUUUAUUUUUCAAUAAUUACUUUUAGAAAUUAUUCUU
Long non-coding RNA from Sesamum indicum (sesame), 557 nucleotides. RefSeq lists it as uncharacterized. The record is from RefSeq and is a predicted model, not a curated record. NCBI's taxonomy places the organism in Eukaryota, Viridiplantae, Streptophyta, Magnoliopsida, Lamiales, Pedaliaceae.